This 442-nucleotide ribosomal RNA is filed under the name uncultured bacterium. RNAcentral describes it as "partial 16S ribosomal RNA". It matches the Rfam family "Bacterial small subunit ribosomal RNA", at positions 338 to 795 of the family's 1533-position model. The record is from RNAcentral.
CCUACGGGGAGCAGCAGUAGGGAAUUUUUCACAAUGGGCGAAAGCCUGAUGGAGCAACGCCGCGUGCAGGAUGAAGGCCUUCGGGUUGUAAACUGCUUUUAUAAGCGAGAAAUAUGAUGGUAACUUAUGAAUAAGGAUCGGCUAACUACGUGCCAGCAGCCGCGGUCAUACGUAGGAUCCGAGCAUUAUCCGGAGUGACUGGGUGUAAAGAGUUGCGUAGGUGGCAUAAUAAGUAGCUAGUGAAAUCUGGUGGCUCAACCAUUCAGACUAUUAGCUAAACUGUUAAGCUCGAGACCGUUAGGGGUAACUGGAAUUUCUAGUGUAGGAGUGAAAUCCGUAGAUAUUAGAAGGAACACCAAUAGCGUAGGCAGGUUGCUGGGACGGUUCUGACACUAAGGCACGAAAGCGUAGGGAGCAAACGGGAUUAGAUACCCCUGUAGUC